Molecule: non-coding RNA, 511 nt
Organism: Python bivittatus (Burmese python)
Lineage: Eukaryota; Metazoa; Chordata; Lepidosauria; Squamata; Pythonidae
Source: RefSeq, a predicted model, not a curated record
GGCUAGAGCGGAGCCGGGAGGCGUCUCCUGCCUUUCGCAGCUGGGCUGGGGAGGAGCUGCGGGUGUCGCCGCUGUUCUUGCCACGUCCCCCGGGCGAAGGCGAGCCUGGCGGCAGCUGGGAGCGCCAGCACGUGCGCGCCGAUGUGUUGAACCAUCAUCCAACCGGUCAUUGACAUCUGUGGCAGGGGCAUCAUGAUUUCAUCGUACAGUGGCACGAUUAUUUUGCUUCCAGUUUCAUCAUUUGCACAAUGAUGUCAUCACAGCUUCUAACACCAGUGCAACCAGCAUGGCCCCUGCAUGGAUGUCUAUUUGCUUGUGGUGUGAGCUAGGUUUUUGGACAAAGCAAGGCUUUAGGAACAGAACAGUUGAAAGAGAACCUCCAGUCAAAGGUUUUUAUACAGGAACCCACCCAAAGCCAAAAGGGACGAGGCUGACCAGAAGAGGUGUACCUUGGUUUGUGCCUUUGACACCACUUUGCUUUGGUUCCCUUGACAAGAGGCCCGGGGAGGAA